Molecule: ribosomal RNA, 480 nt
Filed under: cf. Prasinoderma sp. RCC936
Lineage: Eukaryota; Viridiplantae; Chlorophyta; Pseudoscourfieldiophyceae; Pseudoscourfieldiales; Pycnococcaceae
Description: SSU rRNA
Rfam family: Eukaryotic small subunit ribosomal RNA
Source: RNAcentral
GGGCGCUCUUUCCUUUCUGCCGGGGACCGUUGGGUGUUUUAAUUGCCAUCCCUCGGGAGUCGGCGUUGUUACUUUGAAAAAAUUAGAGUGUUCAAAGCAAGCCAUCGCUCUGAAUACAUUAGCAUGGAAUAACAUGAUAGGACUCCGCUCUUAUUUUGUUGGUUUCCGAGACUGGAGUAAUGAUUAAGAGGGACAGUCGGGGGCAUCCGUAUUUCAUUGUCAGAGGUGAAAUUCUUGGAUUUAUGAAAGACGAACUUCUGCGAAAGCAUUUGCCAAGGAUGUUUUCAUUAAUCAAGAACGAAAGUUGGGGGCUCGAAGAUGAUCAGAUACCAUCCUAGUCCCAACCAUAAACGAUGCCGACUAGGGAUUGGCGGAUGUUCCUUAGAUGACUCCGCCAGCACCUUAUGAGAAAUCAUUAAUUUUUUGGGUUCCGGGGGGAGUAUGGUCGCAAGGCUGAAACUUAAAGGAAUUGACGGAAGG